UCAUUUAAGGUGGAAAAUUACACUUUGUUUUAAAGUGAAUCUCUUUGGAAGUGUGUUGAGGUAUAAUAUACUUAUUUUAUUCAAUUAGAAGCCUAUGUUACUCUCAUUAUACGAUAAAUUUCCUUAAUUUCUUAAAACUUUUGAUAAAAUGUCCACAACAACAAGAAGGCGAGGAGUGCGAUUUUUUUUUGUCAUGCAUAACAUUUUUGACGUACUCAAUUUAUAUUCUGGUUCAGAAGAUUUCGAUGACAUAAGUAUUUGUUCACCUACAAUUCAUUUCAUAUAUUAUUUAACUAUUUCAAGCUAACUUUGGUUAAUUCUUUUCAGAUUUCUCGUUCCUUUACCUCUGAUCCUUAUACGGAAGAUCAAAUCAAUGAGGUGAAAAAUAAGUGGGCAAGAUACUUCAUUGAUAAUUGCAUUGCGUAGUUUUGCAGGUGAAUUUUUGAUGUGCAUGGGAGCAUACUAGGAAGGGGAUCUUCACCUAGAUUAGAGCAUUUUAUUUAUUUUGAUUUUGAGAUAAUAUUUAAUUUUAAUAAUAAGAAGUUAUUAUUCUGGUUAAAGUCUUCCACUGUAAGUUAUUUGGUUAGUAGUUGGUUGCCGAAAGCGUGUUAGUCAUGUGGCGGUAGUACUCCUAAAUUAAUCAAAUAUUAUUUAUUUUAAA
Long non-coding RNA from Beta vulgaris subsp. vulgaris (sugar beet), 661 nucleotides. RefSeq lists it as uncharacterized. The record is from RefSeq and is a predicted model, not a curated record. Lineage: Eukaryota; Viridiplantae; Streptophyta; Magnoliopsida; Caryophyllales; Amaranthaceae. The transcript is spliced from 2 exons.